RNAcentral lists this ribosomal RNA (1232 nucleotides) under Escherichia coli. RNAcentral's name for it is "partial 23S ribosomal RNA". It matches the Rfam family "Bacterial large subunit ribosomal RNA", at positions 1446 to 2663 of the family's 2925-position model. Lineage: Bacteria; Pseudomonadati; Pseudomonadota; Gammaproteobacteria; Enterobacterales; Enterobacteriaceae. The record is from RNAcentral.
UGGUGUUACUGCGAAGGGGGGACGGAGAAGGCUAUGUUGGCCGGGCGACGGUUGUCCCGGUUUAAGCGUGUAGGCUGGUUUUCCAGGCAAAUCCGGAAAAUCAAGGCUGAGGCGUGAUGACGAGGCACUACGGUGCUGAAGCAACAAAUGCCCUGCUUCCAGGAAAAGCCUCUAAGCAUCAGGUAACAUCAAAUCGUACCCCAAACCGACACAGGUGGUCAGGUAGAGAAUACCAAGGCGCUUGAGAGAACUCGGGUGAAGGAACUAGGCAAAAUGGUGCCGUAACUUCGGGAGAAGGCACGCUGAUAUGUAGGUGAAGUCCCUCGCGGAUGGAGCUGAAAUCAGUCGAAGAUACCAGCUGGCUGCAACUGUUUAUUAAAAACACAGCACUGUGCAAACACGAAAGUGGACGUAUACGGUGUGACGCCUGCCCGGUGCCGGAAGGUUAAUUGAUGGGGUCAGCGCAAGCGAAGCUCUUGAUCGAAGCCCCGGUAAACGGCGGCCGUAACUAUAACGGUCCUAAGGUAGCGAAAUUCCUUGUCGGGUAAGUUCCGACCUGCACGAAUGGCGUAAUGAUGGCCAGGCUGUCUCCACCCGAGACUCAGUGAAAUUGAACUCGCUGUGAAGAUGCAGUGUACCCGCGGCAAGACGGAAAGACCCCGUGAACCUUUACUAUAGCUUGACACUGAACAUUGAGCCUUGAUGUGUAGGAUAGGUGGGAGGCUUUGAAGUGUGGACGCCAGUCUGCAUGGAGCCGACCUUGAAAUACCACCCUUUAAUGUUUGAUGUUCUAACGUGGACCCGUAAUCCGGGUUGCGGACAGUGUCUGGUGGGUAGUUUGACUGGGGCGGUCUCCUCCUAAAGAGUAACGGAGGAGCACGAAGGUUGGCUAAUCCUGGUCGGACAUCAGGAGGUUAGUGCAAUGGCAUAAGCCAGCUUGACUGCGAGCGUGACGGCGCGAGCAGGUGCGAAAGCAGGUCAUAGUGAUCCGGUGGUUCUGAAUGGAAGGGCCAUCGCUCAACGGAUAAAAGGUACUCCGGGGAUAACAGGCUGAUACCGCCCAAGAGUUCAUAUCGACGGCGGUGUUUGGCACCUCGAUGUCGGCUCAUCACAUCCUGGGGCUGAAGUAGGUCCCAAGGGUAUGGCUGUUCGCCAUUUAAAGUGGUACGCGAGCUGGGUUUAGAACGUCGUGAGACAGUUCGGUCCCUAUCUGCCGUGGGCGCUGGAGAACU